CAGGGAGGUCGGCAACGACCACCCAGGGCCGGAAAGUUGGUCAAACCCGGUCAUUUAGAGGAAGUAAAAGUCGUAACAAGGUCUCCGUAGGUGAACCUGCGGAGGGAUCAUU
RNAcentral lists this ribosomal RNA (112 nucleotides) under Cladosporium sphaerospermum. RNAcentral describes it as "partial 18S ribosomal RNA". It matches the Rfam family "Eukaryotic small subunit ribosomal RNA", at positions 1721 to 1830 of the family's 1831-position model. The record is from RNAcentral. Lineage: Eukaryota; Fungi; Ascomycota; Dothideomycetes; Cladosporiales; Cladosporiaceae.